GAUGAAUGCUGGCGGCGUGCCUAAUACAUGCAAGUCGAGCGAAUGGAUUAAGAGCUUGCUCUUAUGAAGUUAGCGGCGGACGGGUGAGUAACACGUGGGUAACCUGCCCAUAAGACUGGGAUAACUCCGGGAAACCGGGGCUAAUACCGGAUAACAUUUUGAACCGCAUGGUUCGAAAUUGAAAGGCGGCUUCCGCUGUCACUUAUGGAUGGACCCGCGUCGCAUUAGCUAGUUGGUGAGGUAACGGCUCACCAAGGCAACGAUGCGUAGCCGACCUGAGAGGGUGAUCGGCCACACUGGGACUGAGACACGGCCCAGACUCCUACGGGGGGCAGCAGUAGGGAAUCUUCCGCAAUGGACGAAAGUCUGACGGAGCAACGCCGCGUGAGUGAUGAAGGCUUUCGGGUCGUAAAACUCUGUUGUUAGGGAAGAACAAGUGCUAGUUGAAUAAGCUGACACCUUGACGGUACCUAACCAGAAAGCCACGGCUAACUACGUGCCAGCCGCCGCAGUAA
This 515-nucleotide ribosomal RNA is filed under the name uncultured bacterium. Its description in RNAcentral is "partial 16S ribosomal RNA". It matches the Rfam family "Bacterial small subunit ribosomal RNA", at positions 28 to 523 of the family's 1533-position model. The record is from RNAcentral.